AACACAUGUCUUUUUGAUAAAAAUUCAAAGUCAGGUCUGCUCACUGAAUUAUUUUAAAGAGCCGCAGUAUAUUGACUGUGCAAAGGUAGCAUAAUCAAUAGUUUUUUAAUUGGAAACUAGAAUGAAAGAUUAGACGAAAAAUUAAUUUUCUUUGUUUUAAUAAAUUUAAUUUUAAAUUUAAGUGAAAAUGCUUAAAUAAAAUUAAAAGACGAGAAGACCCUAUAGAUUUUUAUUGUUGAAAUAAAUUUUUAAAUUUAAUUUAAUAAAAUAAUUUAAUUGGGGCGAUUUUAUAAUAUAAAUAACUUAAUUUUUUUAAACCAUAAAUAAUUGAAUAUUUGAUCUAAAAUUUUUAAAGAAAAGAUUAAAUUACCUUAGGGAUAACAGCGUAAUUUUAUUUAAGAGUUCAUAUCUAUAAUAAAGUUUGCGACCUCGAUGUUGAAUUAAGAUAAUAUAUUGGAGUAGAAAUUAAUAUAAUUAGUCUGUUCGACUAUUAAAUUCUUACGUGAUCUG
Molecule: ribosomal RNA, 510 nt
Filed under: Ptycta kauaiensis
Lineage: Eukaryota; Metazoa; Arthropoda; Insecta; Psocodea; Psocidae
Description: partial 16S ribosomal RNA
Rfam family: Bacterial large subunit ribosomal RNA (bases 377-510)
Source: RNAcentral